CACAGGUUUGGUCCCAGCCUUCCUAUUGACCCUUAAUAGACUUACACAUGCAAGCAUCCACACCCCAGUGAAAAUGCCCUCCAAGUUAACUAAGACUAAGAGGAGCUGGUAUCAAGCACACAUCCGUAGCUCACGACACCUUGCAUAGCCACACCCCCACGGGAGACAGCAGUGAUAAAAAUUAAGCCAUAAACGAAAGUUUGACUAAGCCAUAUUAAUCAGGGUUGGUAAAUUUCGUGCCAGCCGCCGCGGUCAUACGAUUAACCCAAGUUAAUAGGCAUACGGCGUAAAGCGUGUUAAAGCACUAUACCGAAUAAAGUUAAAUUCCAAUUAAGCUGUAAAAAGCCAUAAUUGCAACAAAAAUAAACAACGAAAGUAACUUUACAGCUGCCGAAACACGAUAGCUAGGACCCAAACUGGGAUUAGAUACCCCACUAUGCCUAGCCUUAAACACAAAUAGUUAUGUAAACAAAACUAUUCGCCAGAGUACUACCGGCAAUAGCUUAAAACUCAAAGGACUUGGCGGUGCUUUAUACCCUUCUAGAGGAGCCUGUUCUAUAAUCGAUAAACCCCGAUAAACCUCACCAUUCCUUGCUACUACAGUCUAUAUACCGCCAUCUUCAGCAAACCCUAAAAAGGUACAAAAGUAAGCACAAUCAUAAUACAUAAAAACGUUAGGUCAAGGUGUAACCUAUGGAACGGAAAGAAAUGGGCUACAUUUUCUAAUCUAAGAAAAUCCAACACGAAAGUUAUUAUGAAACUAAUAACCAAAGGAGGAUUUAGCAGUAAACUAAGAAUAGAGUGCUUAGUUGAAUUUAGGCCAUGAAGCACGCACACACCGCCCGUCACCCUCCUCAAGUAGGCACAAUACACUCAAACUUAUUUACACGUAUUAAUCAUAUGAGAGGAGAUAAGUCGUAACAAGGUAAGCAUACUGGAAAGUGUGCUUGGAUAAAU
Molecule: non-coding RNA, 957 nt
Filed under: Cervus nippon taiouanus (Formosan sika deer)
Lineage: Eukaryota; Metazoa; Chordata; Mammalia; Artiodactyla; Cervidae
Description: 12S ribosomal RNA
Rfam family: Bacterial small subunit ribosomal RNA
Source: RNAcentral